GGGGAUUUAGCUCAGCGGCAUCAGCGCCUGCCUCGCAAGCAGGGCAGUCGAGUUCAAUCCCUA
This 63-nucleotide transfer RNA is filed under the name Cavia porcellus (domestic guinea pig). It matches the Rfam family "tRNA". From Rfam's summary of the family: Transfer RNA (tRNA) molecules are approximately 80 nucleotides in length. Their secondary structure includes four short double-helical elements and three loops (D, anti-codon, and T loops). The record is from Rfam by way of RNAcentral. Lineage: Eukaryota; Metazoa; Chordata; Mammalia; Rodentia; Caviidae.